GCAUUAUACCGCGAAACUGCGAAUGGCUCAUUAUAUAAGUUAUCGUUUAUUUGAUAGUACCUUACUACUUGGAUAACCGUGGUAAUUCUAGAGCUAAUACAUGCUAAAAAUCCCGACUUCGGAAGGGAUGUAUUUAUUAGAUUAAAAACCAAUGCCCUUCGGGGCUCACUGGUGAUUCAUGAUAACUCCUCGAAUCGCAUGGCCUUGUGCCGGCGAUGGUUCAUUCAAAUUUCUUCCCUAUCAACUUUCGAUGUUUGGGUAUUGGCCAAACAUGGUUGCAACGGGUAACGGAGGGUUAGGGCUCGACCCCGGAGAAGGAGCCUGAGAAACGGCUACUACAUCCAAGGAAGGCAGCAGGCGCGCAAAUUACCCAAUCCCGACACGGGGAGGUAGUGACAAUAAAUACUGAUACAGGGCUCUUUUGGGUCUUGUAAUUGGAAUGAGUACAAUUUAAAUCCCUUAACGAGGAACAAUUGGAGGGCAAGUCUGGUGCCAGCAGCCGCGGUAAUUCCAGCUCCAAUAGCGUAUAUUAAAGUUGUUGUGGUUAAAAAGCUCGUAGUUGAACCUUGGGCCUGGCUGGCCGGUCCGCCUCACCGCGUGUACUGGUCCGGCCGGGCCUUUCCCUCUGUGGAACCCCAUGCCCUUCACUGGGUGUGGCGGGGAAACAGGACUUUUACUGUGAAAGAAUUAGAGUGCUCCAGGCAGGCCUAUGCUCGAAUACAUUAGCAUGGAAUAAUAGAAUAGGACGUGUGGUUCUAUUUUGUUGGUUUCUAGGACCGCCGUAAUGAUUAAUAGGGACAGUCGGGGGCAUCAGUAUUCAAUUGUCAGAGGUGAAAUUCUUGGAUUUAUUGAAGACUAACUACUGCGAAAGCAUUUGCCAAGGAUGUUUUCAUUAAUCAGGAACGAAAGUUAGGGGAUCGAAGACGAUCAGAUACCGUCGUAGUCUUAACCAUAAACUAUGCCGACUAGGGAUCGGACGGUGUUAUUUUUUGACCCGUUCGGCACCUUACGAGAAAUCAAAGUGCUUGGGCUCCAGGGGGAGUAGGGUCGCAAGGCUGAAACUUAAAGAAAUUGACGG
RNAcentral lists this ribosomal RNA (1078 nucleotides) under Albifimbria verrucaria. RNAcentral describes it as "SSU rRNA". It matches the Rfam family "Eukaryotic small subunit ribosomal RNA", at positions 71 to 1159 of the family's 1831-position model. Lineage: Eukaryota; Fungi; Ascomycota; Sordariomycetes; Hypocreales; Stachybotryaceae. The record is from RNAcentral.